GAAGAAAGGAACAUAGGAUCCAUAAAACAAUCAUAAAAUAAUUAACAAAAUGGUAGUAGUAAGUUCUUAUCAAUAAUUACUUUGAAUGUAAAUGGACUAAAUUCUCCAAUCAAAAGAUGUAAAGUAGCUGAAUGGAUUUUUUAAAAAGAGGGACAACUAUAUGCUGCCUAUAAGGAAGUUUCUUCUUUCUAUUGUGUUUUCUGGAAAGAUGAGAAGAUUUGGGUUUUGUUUGUCUUUAUUUAGACAAUGAAAACUUCAUUCUCUUCUCAUGUUUCCAGGAGAGUUCAGGAAGUUAGCAGUAGACUCUUGGUAGCCCUCAGGAUUAAAAUGUAUGCUACAUAAGUAAAUAGGUUUAAUAUCAUUUUUAAUUCCUUACACAUUUUGAUUGUAUAAGAUAGUAUUAUAAUUACUUUUUAUGUAUAUAUUAGUUUUCUUCUUUUGUUGCCUGCAAAAUUUAUUUCUCUUUAGUUACUAGGGAUAAACUUAAUAUAAAGUAAAAAAGGAUUAUAAACCACUUAUAAAUCUUUACUUUAGGAGAGCAAAGAAUAAUAAAGGAAGAAACAUACUCUGCCCUUGAAUGAAAAUACUCAAAUAUGUUAGAUGAGUCUUUCUUCUUGAAAUUAUUCUACAAGCUCCAGUAUUGUCUCGAUUAACAUAAAAUACACUUCUAACAAAGUUUGAUAAGCUGAUUCUAAAGAUUAAAUGGAAAAUUAAUAUAUUAUAA
RNAcentral lists this long non-coding RNA (724 nucleotides) under Pan troglodytes (chimpanzee). RNAcentral describes it as "long non-coding RNA NONPTRT010373". Lineage: Eukaryota; Metazoa; Chordata; Mammalia; Primates; Hominidae. The record is from RNAcentral.